Peromyscus maniculatus bairdii (prairie deer mouse) is the source of this 312-nucleotide non-coding RNA. The record is from RefSeq and is a predicted model, not a curated record. Lineage: Eukaryota; Metazoa; Chordata; Mammalia; Rodentia; Cricetidae.
GUCAAGUAAGAAUACUACAGGCUGGAGAGAUGGCUCGGUAAUUAAGCGUGCUUUCUGAUCUUCCAGAGGACUUGAACUGGGUUCCCAGCACCUGCACAAGGGAUUAAGAAACCCAUCUUCUCUGGAGUGAAGUGUCUGAAAAGAGCUGAGGUCCCUGCAUGUGGCCACACAGAGCACUGUCCUGGCCCGUGUCCUGCUGCACUGACGAGUACAGCCUUGCUGAACUUGUUGAAGAGUCCAUUUGAAAAUGCUUGUGAAGAUUCAUCUCGGUGUUCUGCAAUUUAGCACUUUAGGUUUUGCACAUGCUAGAAG